Molecule: ribosomal RNA, 494 nt
Filed under: uncultured bacterium
Lineage: Bacteria
Description: bacterial SSU rRNA
Rfam family: Bacterial small subunit ribosomal RNA
Source: RNAcentral
GAUAAACGCUGGCGGCGCACAUAAGACAUGCAAGUCGAACGGACUUAACCCGAAUAUUUAUAUUUGGGAGCGGUUAGUGGCGGACUGGUGAGUAACACGUAAGCAAUCUGCCUAUCAGAGGGGAAUAACAGAGAGAAAUUUCUGCUAAUACCGCAUAUGCUCACACCAUCGCAUGAUGGAGUGAGGAAAGGAGUAAUCCGCUGAUAGAUGAGCUUGCGCCUGAUUAGCUAGUUGGUGUGGUAAAGGCAUACCAAGGCGACGAUCAGUAGCCGGACUGAGAGGUUGAACGGCCACAUUGGGACUGAGAUACGGCCCAGACUCCUACGGGAGGCAGCAGUCGGGAAUAUUGCGCAAUGGAGGAAACUCUGACGCAGUGACGCCGCGUAUGGGAAGAAGGUUUUAGGAUUGUAAACCAUUUUAGGCAGGGAAGAAAAAAAUGACGGUACCUGCAGAAUAAGCUCCGGCUAACUACGUGCCAGCAGCCGCAGUAAAAC